This 68-nucleotide transfer RNA is filed under the name Cordylochernes scorpioides. RNAcentral describes it as "tRNA-Gly". The record is from RNAcentral. Lineage: Eukaryota; Metazoa; Arthropoda; Arachnida; Pseudoscorpiones; Chernetidae.
UGCAUCGGCCGGGAAUCGAACCCGGGCCCGCGUGGCAGGCGAGCAUUCUACCACUGAACCACCGAUGG